This is an RNA transcript of Carassius carassius (crucian carp), 2639 nucleotides long. It is a transcript of the gene named forkhead box protein O1-B-like, with no coding region annotated. Lineage: Eukaryota; Metazoa; Chordata; Actinopteri; Cypriniformes; Cyprinidae. The record is from RefSeq and is a predicted model, not a curated record. The transcript has 4 exons.
CUAAAACACGCUACACCCUGAGAGCGCUUCAUAACAGUCAUUUCAUUUACGACCAUCGGCUCUGAUCAUGUGCGAUUGUUAGAGUUGGCAUACUAAACUAAAUCUUCAUUCACUUAUCCUCUGUUUAAGGACUUUGGCUUUAAUUUUGUCAUGGCAGAACCGCAGCAACAGCUGGUUGACAUCGACCCGGAUUUCGAGCCUCUCUCCCGGCCGCGAUCAUGCACCUGGCCACUGCACCGACCGGAAUCUAGCGAGCCGGGGAGCUCGAACACGUCCUCCCCGGCACCGUCCGUCAAGCCGGAGCAAAGCGUUGUGGACUUUAUCAACAGCCUAAGUUUACUAGAAGAGACCGAGGACUACCCGGAGGAGAAACCCGUCCUUUUGAACGACUUCCACUGCCAGGACAACUGCGUUCAUCCCCAGCAGCCGAAUCCCCAGCUGACUCACCCGCAACAGGUGCCGCCGCUCCCCGCCCCUGCCAGCAGCUCCAGCCCUGUAUCGGCCCAGAGGAAGAGCAGCUCGUCUCGCAGGAACGCGUGGGGGAAUAUGUCUUACGCUGACCUCAUCACCAAGGCGAUCGAGAGCUCCCCUGAGAAGCGGCUCACCCUGUCUCAGAUCUACGAGUGGAUGGUGAAGAGCGUCCCUUACUUCAAAGAUAAGGGCGACAGCAACAGUUCAGCCGGCUGGAAGAACUCAAUCAGACACAAUCUGUCCUUGCACAGUCGUUUCAUGCGCGUCCAGAAUGAAGGAACGGGGAAGAGCUCAUGGUGGAUGCUGAACCCUGAGGGGGGAAAGAGCGGCAAGUCUCCACGCCGGAGAGCCACUUCCAUGGACAAUAACAGCAAGUUCACGAAGAGCCGCGGACGAGCAGCCAAGAAAAAGAUGUCGUUGCAGAGUGGACUGGAUGGUGGUUCUAACAGUCCUGGUUCUCAGUACCCAAAAUGGCUCGGCAGCCCUAACUCUCACAGCAAUGAUGACUUCGAACCCUGGACCACCUUUCGUACCCGUGCCAGCUCUGAUGCCAGUACGCUCAGUGGCCGUCACUCACCCUUCCUACCUGAGGAGGACGAGCCCGGUGAGGUCCCCAUCGGGUACCCAGGCACCAAACUGGGCGGCCCCCUCCCCAGCCUGUCCGAAGUGACGGGUCACCACGGUUCUGAGAAUGUGAUGAUGGACAAUCUCUUAGACAACCUCAACCUCAUCUCACCCAAAAAUAACUCCCAGGGCAGCCAAGAUGCCCAAACUGCGCUGUCUUCCCCCAUGAUGCAGGGUAGUCCUGGGUACCCGUCUUACAACUCGCCCAGUAUGGGUCCUCAACCCCAAGUCCAGCAGGACUACCGGAAGUGUAGUAUGUAUGUACAGGCCGGAGUGGGCAGACUGAGUCCAAUUGCAAUACCGACUUUAUCGGACAGUCAACCAGGAGGCUACGGCCCCUUCGUGAGUCAGUACAACUGUGCUGCAGGGCUGCUCAAAGAGCUGCUGAGCGCAGAUGCCGAUCCGAGAGGGGACAUGAUGCAGCCUUUAGAGUCAUUGGGGUCUGGAGAUGGGCGACGGGUGCUACCUAGCUAUGCUAGUCUAGGACAAAUGGGACAGGGAGGCAAAAUGAUGACGCAUCCUCACCUGCAUGCGCACACACGCUCGCUUCAUCAGUUGCCCUUGCCAGCAAUGGGCAUGAAUGACCGUGCCCUUUUGCCCCACAGGCAUCCUGUUCGCCUCGGUAACAUGAAGCUACAACCACACCUGCCUCAUCACGCUCAACUGGAAAGAGGUGGAGGCGAAGCUGGGAUGCCGAAUUACACCAAUGGUUUCCACAGGCACGGACCGGGUCCUCACCACCAUCACAGCCCACUGGAGCGGCUGCCCAGUGACUUAGAUGACAUGUCGAUCGAGCAGCUGGAGUGUGAUGUAGAAACCGUCCUUCACGACACGCUCAUGGAUGGGGAUGCUCUGGACUUCAACUUCGACCCCAUGAGCAGUCAGCAGGGUUUCCCACACGGGGUCAAGACCAACACACAUAGCUGGGUAUCUGGAUAAACACAUUAUUAACUCAAAACACAUACAGAUUGGUGAGCAGGAUGUUUAUAAUCAUAUGAUAUGAAUAAAUAAUAACAAAUGUGGGUGAAUAUAUAUGUAAAUAGGUCAUAGACAUAAGCAGAAAGCUGUAGGUCAUACCAAAAGGCUGCACAUACAAGAGAGAUUUGAACCUUACAUUUCCUUCCCACCUGCUAGGACUCAAUUAUUAAAAAUGAAAUAUAAAACAAAAGUAAAAUACAUAAAUAGAUUUUUAGCAUCAUUGAAGCCCAUCUCCGCAUAAUUGUGACUUUAUUUCCCAUUAUUGUGUCUGUCUAGCAAUUCUGUCUUUAUUUCUCACAGCUGUGCCUUUUUUAUAGAUAAGAAUACAUAUCUCGCAAUUCCAUAUACAUAUCUCGCAAUUCUAAUUUUAUUUCUCAAAACUGUGACUCUAUUUCCCAUAGUUGUAAAUAUAUAUCUUGCAAUUCUGAUUUUAUUUCUCCCAAUUCUGAAUUUCUCACAACUGUGUCUCAAUUUUUCGUAGAUGUGAAUAUAUAUCUCACAACUCUGAUUUUAAUUCUUCUCAUUCUGAAUUUAUUUCUCACCAUUGUGACUUUAUUUCCUUUAGU